RNAcentral lists this small RNA (34 nucleotides) under Bombyx mori (domestic silkworm). Its description in RNAcentral is "ovarian small RNA-22974". Lineage: Eukaryota; Metazoa; Arthropoda; Insecta; Lepidoptera; Bombycidae. The record is from RNAcentral.
UAGUCACUGGUCCUGAUAAGGCUUCUAGCCUUAG